UACGUAGGGGGGCUAGCGUUGUCCGGAAUCAUUGGGCGUAAAGCGCGUGUAGGCGGUCCGGUAAGUCCGCUGUGAAAGUCGGGGGCUCAACCCUCGGAUGCCGGUGGAUACUGUCGGGCUUGAGUACGGAAGAGGAGAGUGGAAUUCCUGGUGUAGCGGUGAAAUGCGCAGAUAUCAGGAAGAACACCCGUGGCUAAGGCGGCUCUCUAGUACGGUACUGACGCUGAGACGCGAAAGCGUGGGGAGCGAACAGG
This 254-nucleotide ribosomal RNA is filed under the name uncultured bacterium. RNAcentral's name for it is "partial 16S ribosomal RNA". It matches the Rfam family "Bacterial small subunit ribosomal RNA", at positions 524 to 776 of the family's 1533-position model. The record is from RNAcentral.